GACGAACGCUGGCGGCGUGCUUAACACAUGCAAGUCGAACGGAAAGGCCCUGCUUUUGUGGGGUGCUCGAGUGGCGAACGGGUGAGUAACACGUGAGUAACCUGCCCUUGACUUUGGGAUAACUUCAGGAAACUGGGGCUAAUACCGGAUAGGAGCUCCUGCUGCAUGGUGGGGGUUGGAAAGUUUCGGCGGUUGGGGAUGGACUCGCGGCUUAUCAGCUUGUUGGUGGGGUAGUGGCUUACCAAGGCUUUGACGGGUAGCCGGCCUGAGAGGGUGACCGGACACAUUGGGACUGAGAUACGGCCAAGACUCCUACGGGAGGCAGCAGUGGGGAAUAUUGCACAAUGGGCGGAAGCCUGAUGCAGAAACGCCGCGUGCGGGAUGACGGCCUUCGGGUUGUAAACCGCUUUCGCCUGUGACGAAGCGUGAGUGACGGUAAUGGGUAAAGAAGCACCGGCUAACUACGUG
RNAcentral lists this ribosomal RNA (468 nucleotides) under uncultured bacterium. RNAcentral's name for it is "partial 16S ribosomal RNA". It matches the Rfam family "Bacterial small subunit ribosomal RNA", at positions 28 to 507 of the family's 1533-position model. The record is from RNAcentral.